RNAcentral lists this transfer RNA (74 nucleotides) under Hadesarchaea archaeon. RNAcentral's name for it is "tRNA-Tyr". It matches the Rfam family "tRNA". Rfam says of the family: Transfer RNA (tRNA) molecules are approximately 80 nucleotides in length. Their secondary structure includes four short double-helical elements and three loops (D, anti-codon, and T loops). Further hydrogen bonds mediate the characteristic L-shaped molecular structure. tRNAs have two regions of fundamental functional importance: the anti-codon, which is responsible for specific mRNA codon recognition, and the 3' end, to which the tRNAs corresponding amino acid is attached (by aminoacyl-tRNA synthetases). tRNAs cope with the degeneracy of the genetic code in two manners: having more than one tRNA (with a specific anti-codon) for a particular amino acid; and 'wobble' base-pairing, i.e. permitting non-standard base-pairing at the 3rd anti-codon position. RNAcentral also lists the same sequence under 1 other name. The record is from RNAcentral. Lineage: Archaea; Methanobacteriati; Hadarchaeota (SeqCode); Hadarchaeia (SeqCode).
CCCGCGGUAACUCAGCCUGGUAGAGUGGCCGGCUGUAGACCGGCAUGUCGGGGGUUCAAAUCCCUCCCGCGGGA